Molecule: ribosomal RNA, 497 nt
Filed under: uncultured bacterium
Lineage: Bacteria
Description: partial 16S ribosomal RNA
Rfam family: Bacterial small subunit ribosomal RNA
Source: RNAcentral
GAUGAACGCUGGCGGCGUGCCUAAUACAUGCAAGUCGAGCGAACAGACGAGGAGCUUGCUCCUCUGACGUUAGCGGCGGACGGGUGAGUAACACGUGGAUAACCUACCUAUAAGACUUGGAUAACUUCGGGAAACCGGAGCUAAUACCGGAUAAUAUAUUGAACCGCAUGGUUCAAUAGUGAAAGACGGUUUUGCUGUCACUUAUAGAUGGAUCCGCGCCGCAUUAGCUAGUUGGUAAGGUAACGGCUUACCAAGGCAACGAUGCGUAGCCGACCUGAGAGGGUGAUCGGCCACACUGGAACUGAGACACGGUCCAGACUCCUACGGGAGGCAGCAGUAGGGAAUCUUCCGCGAUGGGCGAAUGCCUGACGGAGCAACGCCGCGUGAGUGAUGAAGGUCUUCGGAUCGUAAAACGCUGUUAUUAGGGAAGAACAAAUGUGUAAGUAACUAUGCACGUCUUGACGGUACCUAAUCAGAAAGCCACGGCUAACUACGUG